Molecule: non-coding RNA, 131 nt
Organism: Gouania willdenowi (blunt-snouted clingfish)
Lineage: Eukaryota; Metazoa; Chordata; Actinopteri; Blenniiformes; Gobiesocidae
Product: small Cajal body-specific RNA 8
Source: Ensembl
UGGGAGGCAGAUACCUGGGCAGUGCUAAGCAAUGCUCUGUCCGUCACAUGACCUCCCUACAGAAUCCUUGCUCUCUGAUGACCGCGGUGAACUGAGAGAAAUCACCACGGACAGAUACGGAGCAGACAUUC